Pteropus alecto (black flying fox) is the source of this 622-nucleotide long non-coding RNA. RefSeq lists it as uncharacterized. NCBI's taxonomy places the organism in Eukaryota, Metazoa, Chordata, Mammalia, Chiroptera, Pteropodidae. The record is from RefSeq and is a predicted model, not a curated record. The transcript is spliced from 2 exons.
GUGGAGACAGAAAGGGACAUGGACAGAAGGAGCGUCGAGUCCGGGCUCUGCUCAAGGACCCGGUUGGAAAUUGCCACGCUGAUCUUAACAUUCAUAUGGACAUUCAAGGGACCCAGAAUAGCCAAGACAAUCUUGAUAAAGAAGAACAAAGUUGGAGGACUCCCAUUUCCCGAUUUUAGAAAUUACUACAAAGCUACAAUAAUCAAGAUAGUGUGGUACUGGCAUACGGACAGACAUAUAGAUCAAUGAAUUAGAGUUGAAAGUCCAGAAAUAAACUCUCAUAUUUAUGAUCAACUGAUUUUCAAGAAAGGUGCUAAGACAAUUCAAUGGAGAAAGAAGCCUUUUCAACAAAUAGUGCUGGGAAAACUGAAUGUUCACAUUUAGAAGAAUGAGAUUGGACUCUUACCAUACGAUAUAUACAAAAAUUAACUCAAAUGGAUCAAAGGCCUAAAUAUAAAAGCUCCAGCUAUUAAAUUCUCAAGAAAACAGAAGCAUAAAUCUUUUUGACCUGGGAUUGGGCAAUGGAUACAAGGUUUUUUUGGGGGGGUGCUGCAAUAUUUCAGAAUUGAUCAUAGAGAAGUUUGCACAUGUUUGUAAAUAUAUUCAAAUCUAUUGAAUUGUA